RNAcentral lists this ribosomal RNA (253 nucleotides) under uncultured bacterium. RNAcentral describes it as "partial 16S ribosomal RNA". It matches the Rfam family "Bacterial small subunit ribosomal RNA", at positions 524 to 776 of the family's 1533-position model. The record is from RNAcentral.
UACGUAGGGUGCAGGCGUUAAUCGGAAUUACUGGGCGUAAAGCGUGCGCAGGCGGUUUUGUAAGCCAGAUGUGAAAGCCCCGGGCUCAACCUGGGAAUGGCAUUUGGGACUGCAAGGCUGGAGUAUGGCAGAGGAGACUAGAAUUCCUGGUGUAGCAGUGAAAUGCGUAGAUAUCAGGAGGAAUACCGAUGGCGAAGGCAGGUCUCUGGGCCAAUACUGACGCUCAUGCACGAAAGCGUGGGGAGCAAACAGG